Molecule: ribosomal RNA, 497 nt
Filed under: uncultured bacterium
Lineage: Bacteria
Description: partial 16S ribosomal RNA
Rfam family: Bacterial small subunit ribosomal RNA
Source: RNAcentral
GAUGAACGCUGGCGGCGUGCCUAAUACAUGCAAGUCGAGCGAACGGACGAGAAGCUUGCUUCUCUGACGUUAGCGGCGGACGGGUGAGUAACACGUGGAUAACCUACCUAUAAGACUGGGAUAACUUCGGGAAACCGGAGCUAAUACCGGAUGAUAUUUUGAACCGCAUGGUUCAAUAGUGAAAGACGGUCUUGCUGUCACUUAUAGAUGGAUCCGCGCUGCAUUAGCUAGUUGGUAAGGUAACGGCUUACCAAGGCAACGAUGCAUAGCCGACCUGAGAGGGUGAUCGGCCACACUGGAACUGAGACACGGUCCAGACUCCUACGGGAGGCAGCAGUAGGGAAUCUUCCGCAAUGGGCGAAAGCCUGACGGAGCAACGCCGCGUGAGUGAUGAAGGUCUUCGGAUCGUAAAACUCUGUUAUUAGGGAAGAACAUAUGUGUAAGUAACUAUGCACGUCUUGACGGUACCUAAUCAGAAAGCCACGGCUAACUACGUG